UCUCUCUUGGUAUAUCGGUAGAACACCACCCUGUCAUGCCUUGAGCCGCGCGGUGGAGAGCUGGGUUCGACUCCCAGAGGGAGAG
Tulasnella sp. 403 is the source of this 85-nucleotide non-coding RNA. The record is from the annotation of a GenBank genome assembly. NCBI's taxonomy places the organism in Eukaryota, Fungi, Basidiomycota, Agaricomycetes, Cantharellales, Tulasnellaceae.